ACCAGGCCAUGGUGAGGAUCUAUGAGGUUGAGAUAUUCUCAGACACUGGGAAGCAGGGUUCUGGUCUUUGCCCCCAAACGUGGUCUGAGUGAUGUUACCCUUUAUAAACCAUCUCAGAGGGUUCAUGGGAUGAUCUGCCAGAGUGAUCACCCAGUGUGUCCUGCUGGGAUCAUGCUUUCCUUUGUGAAGGUUCCUACAUUGGUGCCUUCCUUCCAGGCUUCCAGCUGGGUUGCAGACAUCAACCCAACUGUCAUGGAUUAGCUUGUAUGUAGAUUAGAUCUAGUAGGAUGUGUUUCUGGAGUCCUUUGGCAAAUGCAUCAGCUGGGAUUCAGAGUAAUGGGUAACCUUUCUUGAAUACAUAAUUCAAAGGAAUAGUGUUGUGGUUUCAGCCCUGGCUGCACUUUAGAAUCCGCUGGAGCACUUUAAAUCAAGUGAUGCCUAAACCUGUAGAUUUAUUAAGUCAGAAUCUCUGUGCUUGGGACAAGGCACAGGUAGGUUUUCAAAGCAAAAGGUGAUUCUAAUGGACAACCGGGGUUGAAAACUACUGGGCUAGCCAAUUGUUGAUUGAAUCAAUGGUGAUAACCUUACAUGUUCAAGAGGCCUGCAAGAUCCCUAUUAUAUAUAUGAAGAGAAUGUUAUUCUUCAGGACCGUGGACACCUUUGUGGGAAGCAGUGGAUUCUCAAACUUUAAUGUGCAUACAAAUCACCUGAGGAUCGUUUUAAAUCACAUAUUUUAACAGGAUUCUGCAUUUCUAACAAGCUCCCAGGAGGUGCUGAUCCGGACUAUGCACCACAGUGAGAAGCAAGUAUCUAGACCAGCACUCUGCAAACUGGAAUAGGAUACAUGAAACUUCCAAGCUGGUAUUGAACAUCCUUGUACCUGUCUCCAGCUUCUAUGACAUGAAGAAGCUGUUGACUGCCAAGUAAAGACACAGAGAGAAGAUGCCCAUCUAUAAACCAAGAAGUGGGAUCUCAUCAGACACCUAAUCUGCCGGCACCUUGAUCUUGGACUUCCCAGCCUCCAGAACUGUUGAGAAAUCAAUGUUUGUUGUUCAAGCCCCCCAGUCAGUGGUGU
Long non-coding RNA from Herpailurus yagouaroundi (jaguarundi), 1075 nucleotides. RefSeq lists it as uncharacterized. Lineage: Eukaryota; Metazoa; Chordata; Mammalia; Carnivora; Felidae. The transcript has 3 exons. The record is from RefSeq and is a predicted model, not a curated record.